This is a long non-coding RNA of Myotis davidii, 2042 nucleotides long. RefSeq lists it as uncharacterized. The transcript has 3 exons. The record is from RefSeq and is a predicted model, not a curated record. NCBI's taxonomy places the organism in Eukaryota, Metazoa, Chordata, Mammalia, Chiroptera, Vespertilionidae.
UUCUAAGUAAAAAUAAAGCAUGUUUUAGAGUGGGAGGAAAAACAAAUUGAUAUGUAAGAACUGAAAACUGCAAUAAUUGCAAUAAAAAAUUCGCUAGAUGGGCACAAUUACAGAAUGGAGAUGACAGAGGAGUCAUUGAACUUUAAGAUCAAUAUCAAAAUCAAUAUAUGUUACCCACUCGAAUAACAGAGAAGAACAACUGAAAAAAGUUAUCAGAGCUUUAUGUACCUGUGGAACAAUUUCAAAGGAAUAAAAUGUAUGUCUUUGGAGCCCCAGAAAAAGAGGAGACACUGGUAUAGGUAACUAUUGAAAGAAAUAAAGGAUGAAUUGGCAAAGGCAUGGCUGUAGUGAUUCAAGAAGCUUAGUAGACCCCAAACAAGAUAAACUAAAAUAAGCAAACAAACAAAAAGCUGUCCAGAUGCAUUAUAACCAAACAGCUGAAAAUUAAAAAUUUUUGAGAGAGAAAAAUGUUGCAUUACAUAUAAAGGUAAAAUGAUUCUAAUGAUUAUGGAUUUCUUAUCAUAGAGGCCAGAAAGCAGCUGAACAAAGAAAUAUCAACCUGGAAUUCUAUAUUCUGUUAAAUAUCUUUCAGGAAUGAAGGCAUUCUCAGAUGAAGGGAAAAUAAGAGAAUUUGUUACCAAUGUAUGUGCUUAAAAAAAAAAAAAGCUAAAAAACACGUUGUUCAGAUAGAAGGGAAAUGACACCAGAGGGACACCUGAAACUUCAGAAAUGAAGAAAGCAACAGAAAUAACAAAUAUAUGGGAACAUCAUGAGAAGCCAGAGUUCUUUGGAGAAGACUACUGUGCUGAGGAAAACAAGGCAGCAGGACAGGAGGAAAACCACACAUGACAUAAGAAGCCACAGGCAUGAGUCUACAGGAGCCGAGACUCAUUCCUCACCAGGAGUCGGAGCUGGUUCAGCUGCAAGUAGCACAGGGCUGCCACAAAAAUGAGUGCAUGGGACCUCGUGGCUUAGUCUCGAGGAGCAUUCUGAGGGUCACUCUGAGGCAACGAUUUUCCUCCACUCCCUCACUGUCCUGGGCAGCAGCAGCCACCACAGGGUAAAUCGUGGAUUUAGGCAAGAAGGCAUCUAAAUGCUCAGCCAUCAACUUCACCCGACGGCUGGUUCUCCUCCGGUGACAGGAUGAUUGCUGAUUGUCCAGAGGCCGUUUGGUUCUCAUCCACAUCCAAGUAAAGAGACAGCUCUUCCCAGAGUAGCCACGCACACAGUACCAUGCAUGACAAAAGAAUAUUGAGCUCCUGACGCCAAACGCCUGCAUUCAGGUCCCUUCCCGGUUUUCUCCCAGGCUGAUGAGAGGGCAUUUGCUUGACGUGUCUGCACUGAAGAGCUUGCUCCAGGAGUUCUCAAGAAGGCCCAGUUUCGGUCCCAAAGGGGAAUCCACGUCUCCCAACUUCUGGGAGAAAUAAAAUUGGUAUAGUUUUCAAAUCACUCCCAAAGUCUCCCUGACUCCUUUUCCACUUUUACUCCUAAGGUUCCGUAACUUUUAGAGCUCAGUCUACGCAAGAGCAUGCAGCUUGUCCCCCCACCAUCUGCAUCUGUACCCAGGGCACCUGGAGAAGCUGAAUCCAGCAUGAAGACACGGAGCCCCAGGGAAAUCUGCUCGGGGUCUUUGGUGCUCUACAGCAGGAUAAAAGGAUGCCUUGCCUGGGCAGCCAGAUAGCCUCAGUGUAUGACAAUUUGGGUAGGCCAUGACAGUGACAAGAUACGGAUUCAAGAGCAUAUAUUCUGUUGUGUGACCCUCACAAAGUCACGCCCUCUUUCUUGGAACACUUUCUUCACUAAGCUUCUGGGACACCACACUCUCCAAACUCUCCCCUGUCUCCCUGCUGCUGCUUCACUUUCUCCUGCCAACCUCCUUUUCCUCCUAACCUCUGAAUAGUAUUUUGCCUCAGGGCCCUCUCUGGGACCAGUUUCUCAGGUAUGGUUUGAAGAACUCUGGAUUAGGCUCUACACUUGUGGAAUCAGCUCCUCCCACCCCUAAUAGCUUUGGACAAUUCAGAUAAAAUUUCCUCUCUCUCUCU